UCUUGACAGCUUGUUGGGUCGGGCAACCCGACCCCAGUAUCCCAUUUGGAUUAUUAAGAGGGUCGGUGGGACAGAAAGUAGAAUAAAGAGGGAAGAGGUGUGAUCCACCGUCGUAUUGACGGUGGACACGUGGGUGGGUUUCAAACGGUGUGGACCCACAAAGGACGAGGAGGAAGAGAACAAAUUUGCCCCGAAGUUAUCUUGAUUGGGUGGGAAUGAUUCAGAAGCGUCAGAUAUGUUGACGGUUUUCUAGCGCUGUUUUAGGACUUUUGAGGUAGAACUCAGAAGGCAUGUGACUUUAUGCUGGGUUGUUGGACGUAUUUAUAAAAAAAAAAAAUAGACAAUUUUAGGUUUUAUAGGUAGAUUCUACGGCUAAAAUCAAGUGAUUGUAUGGUCCUUGCUGCUUUGGUUAACACCAAACGCCCUGUUGUCGAUGUUAUGUAAUCCGAUCCAUUUUGAGGAUACGUUAGGUUGCUGGCAGAUUAAGGCCCAAACCUUACUCGAUUGAGAUAUCUUUCAAUUUGGUUGUGAUAUUUAAAGAUGAAUAAUUCUUGUUGCAGUCGCAUGGGAGAACUGGCGUGCACCUGAAAAAAUGAAAUGAACUGUUUCAUUCUUUUCUCUCCUUCCGUGAUUCUUGAAAAUCGGAGAGAGAAGGAGCUUAGAAAUACACCAGGUUGCAGAGGAAAUCGAAAUUGAAAUCGGAAAGAAAACCAUAAUUAUACUGGUUGUGCCAACACUAUUGGCAACCAAGGGGGAGGAAGUGAACACCUUGAUUUUGCACAAAUCUGCUCCAAAAAAAUUUCAAGAAAAGUUUCAAUAUACGGUGAGUGAAGAGCUCCCCGAACAUCCAUCCUCCUUCCCUAACCCAGAGACCUUUGUUACUUCAUACCCAUUUCAAUUUUUUUUUUUUUUAAGAAUGUUCCACUUGCUAUUGAUAUAGAGACUAUCUAUUUAUUAGUUCUAUUUUAUUUUUCCUGGUUUUUGGGAGGGAAACCUAGAUUGGGUUCUAUAGUGGAUCUGCACAGGGGAAUGUAUAGAGUAGUCGUUGAAAAUUCUUUUUCCUAGAACUGUUGUUGAAGCUCAAUCAAUGCACGAAGAGGAACUGAAACCCCCGAUGAACCAAUCGAAACUCCAUGACGACGAAAACAACCUCCAUCCCACUGUGCAUAGAUCAACAAUGCCAACCCACGAAAUUUAUCACUCCGUCGAAGAAGAGAAGCUCCAGCCACAAAGACGAAUAGAAGUGUAUUUUUUUAGCAUUUUUGCAUUUUUUUUUUUUUUUUUCUGCACCCCAAUGCUCUCCGUGAGUUGCAUUUUUUGAUUUUGUUUCUUUCCGAUUUCUUUUUGUUUUUUAAAUCGAUUGAUGUGGUACAUCAACCGAUUGCACCAUAAUUACACAAGGCCGACUGUCCGUAAAAAAACUCAAAUAAUAUUAAUCUUUACAAAUA
Molecule: long non-coding RNA, 1448 nt
Organism: Carya illinoinensis
Lineage: Eukaryota; Viridiplantae; Streptophyta; Magnoliopsida; Fagales; Juglandaceae
Exons: 2
Source: RefSeq, a predicted model, not a curated record